Molecule: ribosomal RNA, 253 nt
Filed under: uncultured bacterium
Lineage: Bacteria
Description: partial 16S ribosomal RNA
Rfam family: Bacterial small subunit ribosomal RNA
Source: RNAcentral
UACGGAGGGCGCGAGCGUUACCCGGAUUUACUGGGCGUAAAGGGCGUGUAGGCGGCCUGGGGCGUCCCAUGUGAAAGGCCACGGCUCAACCGUGGAGGAGCGUGGGAUACGCUCAGGCUAGACGGUGGGAGAGGGUGGUGGAAUUCCCGGAGUAGCGGUGAAAUGCGCAGAUACCGGGAGGAACGCCGAUGGCGAAGGCAGCCACCUGGUCCACCCGUGACGAUGAGGCGCGAAAGAGUGGGGAGCAAACCGG